UCCGAAGGGCAUGCCUGUUUGAGUGUCUUAUAAACCUCACCCCUAAUGUUUUAUUACAAUAGUUGGUGCUUUGGGUGUUGCCAUUUACCUGGCUCGCCUUAAAUGUCUAAGUGGAAUGCGUAAUAAGUUCUCGCAACCCUCCACUCUAAUACAAUUUAUAUUCUGACCUCAAAUCAGGUAGGACUACCCGCUGAACUUAA
This 200-nucleotide unclassified non-coding RNA is filed under the name soil metagenome. RNAcentral describes it as "partial contains 5.8S ribosomal RNA, internal transcribed spacer 2, and large subunit ribosomal RNA". The record is from RNAcentral.